This 497-nucleotide ribosomal RNA is filed under the name uncultured bacterium. Its description in RNAcentral is "partial 16S ribosomal RNA". It matches the Rfam family "Bacterial small subunit ribosomal RNA", at positions 28 to 507 of the family's 1533-position model. The record is from RNAcentral.
GAUGAACGCUGGCGGCGUGCCUAAUACAUGCAAGUCGAGCGAACAGACGAGGAGCUUGCUCCUCUGACGUUAGCGGCGGACGGGUGAGUAACACGUGGAUAACCUACCUAUAAGACUGGGAUAACUUCGGGAAACCGGAGCUAAUACCGGAUAAUAUAUUGAACCGCAUGGUUCAAUAGUGAAAGACGGUUUUGCUGUCACUUAUAGAUGGAUCCGCGCCGCAUUAGCUAGUUGGUAAGGUAACGGCUUACCAAGGCGACGAUGCGUAGCCGACCUGAGAGGGUGAUCGGCCACACUGGAACUGAGACACGGUCCAGACUCCUACGGGAGGCGGCAGUAGGGAAUCUUCCGCAAAGGGCGAAAGCCUGACGGAGCAACGCCGCGUGAGUGAUGAAGGUCUUCGGAUCGUAAAACUCUGUUAUUAGGGAAGAACAAAUGUGUAAGUAACUAUGCACGUCUUGACGGUACCUAAUCAGAAAGCCACGGCUAACUACGUG